CAAAGAUCGAACGGGGAGAUUCAUCGUCAGCGGCGUUGGCCUCGCGCCGGCUCGUGACGUCGCGGUGCCUCGCGGUACCCGCGGCGCGCGGUCGGCGUGUCUUUACGUCCGACGUCGCCGGCGUGCACUUCUCCCCUGGUAGAACGUCGCGACCCGUUGGGCGUCGAUCUAAGGCCCGGGUGGGUGACUGUCGCGGACGCUUAACAGGCGUCGCGCGGCAAACCCCCGGUCGCCAGCGUCGGCUACCCGGCGGUACUCGCAUGGUAUCGGGCCGCAUGAACAAUUUCGAACUGCGUCGAGCCCGUCGCAAGCGCGGUCGAACCGCGGAGGUGCGGACCUAGCGCCGUCCCCGCGGCCGACCUGCUGUUGGCAGACGGUGUCCUACGACAGGCCAAGAACGGGGGACCUCGUUAACGCGGGGUUCCCCAUCGAAAGUGUGAUACCGGUCGGCGACGCUACUGCUUUGGGUAAUCUCAGGACCCGUCUUGAAACACGGACCAAGGAGUCUAACACGUGCGCGAGUCAUUGGGACAGCAUAUGCCUAAAGGCGAAAUGAAAGUGAAGCUCGGCUUUGAACGCCGAUCGAGGGAGGAUGGGUCGUUGCGGGUUACGGCCUCGCACUCCCGGGGCGUCUCGCUCUCAUCGCGAGAGGAGGCGCACCCAGAGCGUACGCGUUGGGACCCGAAGAGGG
Molecule: ribosomal RNA, 691 nt
Filed under: Cleistepyris sp. 3 IA-2018
Lineage: Eukaryota; Metazoa; Arthropoda; Insecta; Hymenoptera; Bethylidae
Description: eukaryotic LSU rRNA
Rfam family: Eukaryotic large subunit ribosomal RNA (bases 497-691)
Source: RNAcentral